This 254-nucleotide ribosomal RNA is filed under the name uncultured bacterium. RNAcentral describes it as "partial 16S ribosomal RNA". It matches the Rfam family "Bacterial small subunit ribosomal RNA", at positions 524 to 776 of the family's 1533-position model. The record is from RNAcentral.
UACGAAGGGGGCUAGCGUUGUUCGGAUUUACUGGGCGUAAAGCGCACGUAGGCGGAUCGUUAAGUCGGGGGUGAAAUCCUGGAGCUCAACUCCAGAACUGCCUUCGAUACUGGCGAUCUUGAGUCCGGAAGGAGGUGAGUGGAACUCCUAGUGUAGAGGUGGAAUUCGUAGAUAUUAGGAAGAACACCAGUGGCGAAGGCGGCUCACUGGUCCGGUACUGACGCUGAGGUGCGAAAGCGUGGGGAGCAAACAGG